This 433-nucleotide ribosomal RNA is filed under the name uncultured bacterium. RNAcentral's name for it is "partial 16S ribosomal RNA". It matches the Rfam family "Bacterial small subunit ribosomal RNA", at positions 29 to 507 of the family's 1533-position model. The record is from RNAcentral.
AACGAACGCUGGCGGAAGGAAGAAAAAAGGAAAGUGGAAAGAGACCUUCGGGUCUAGUGGCGCACGGGUGCGUAACGCGUGGGAACCUGCCCUUAGGUUCGGAAUAACUCCCCGAAAGGGGUGCUAAUACCGGAUAAUGUCUUCGGACCAAAGAUUUAUCGCCUUUGGAUGGGCCCGCGUUGGAUUAGCUAGUUGGUAGGGUAAAAGCCUACCAAGGCGACGAUCCAUAGCUGGUCUGAGAGGAUGAUCAGCCACACUGGGACUGAGACACGGCCCAGACUCCUACGGGAGGCAGCAGUGGGGAAUAUUGGACAAUGGGCGAAAGCCUGAUCCAGCAAUGCCGCGUGAGUGAUGAAGGCCUUAGGGUUGUAAAGAUCUUUUACCCGGGAUGAUAAUGACAGUACCGGGAGAAUAAGCUCCGGCUAACUCCGUA